This 1323-nucleotide unclassified non-coding RNA is filed under the name Octopus sinensis (East Asian common octopus). RNAcentral's name for it is "cOBW domain-containing protein 1, transcript variant X4". The record is from RNAcentral. Lineage: Eukaryota; Metazoa; Mollusca; Cephalopoda; Octopoda; Octopodidae.
AACAGUUACCUACCCUUAACGGUUUCUUCCUAUUUACGCAGGGUCUCUCUCUCCCUCUCUUCGCUAUUUGUCUGCUCUGCUUUUAAUACCAGUUCCAAAUAGAAAAUUUAGCCGCUAUAACAACUUGCUUAACAAAUAGCUACAAGAAUAAAGCUUGAUCAGCCCCAUCAUGUCUGAUGAUGAAGAAGCGCCUCCUGAUCUUGUCCCCGCAGAUAUUGUUAAGGUCCCUAUAACAAUCAUCACAGGAUUUUUAGGUGCCGGUAAAACAACAUUAUUGAAUUAUAUCUUGUCGGAAAACCAUGGGAAACGAAUUGCUGUAAUUUUGAAUGAAUUUGGAGAAGGAAGUUCCAUUGAGAAGUCUUUGUCAGUUGGUCAGAAGGGGGAAUUAUUUGAAGAAUGGCUGGAAUUACGAAAUGGAUGUUUGUGUUGCUCUGUCAAGGACAGUGGAGUGAAGGCCAUAGAAAAUCUCAUGCUAAAGAAAGGAAAAUUUGACUAUAUCUUAUUAGAGACGACAGGUUUAGCUGAUCCAGGACCAAUUGCAUCAAUGUUUUGGGUGGAUGAAGAAUUAUGCAGUGAUAUAUACUUGGAUGGUAUAAUCACUAUGAUUGAUGCCAAACAUUGCUUACAGCAUCUAAACGAAGUGAAGAAAGAUAACCUGGUUAACGAAUGUGCAAGACAGAUUGCAUUGGCAGAUCUUGUGGUUGUCAAUAAAGUGGAUCUGGUCUCAGAAACAGAACUCGCACAGGUGAAGGAGAGAAUAUCGACUAUAAACUCUUUGGCAGAACUGAUUGAAACCACUUAUGGCAGGGUUCACUUGGAUGUUGUGUUUGAUCUCAAUGCGUACAAUGCCUCAGGAACCGUUUCCAGCUCUGAAGAUAAUUUUAAGAAACAAAAACUCUUUGUGUCCCACAAUCCACAUCUUGAUCAGUCAAUAACAACUGUGACCUUUGACAUCAUGGAGUCUGUGACCAAAUCGGAUGUGGAGCAAUUCCUUCAGAACCUUCUUUGGGAGAAAACCAUUUGUGAUGCUGCCAGGAAUCCGAUGGAGGUCUUCAGGAUGAAAGCUCUUCUGUUUCUGGCUGACAACCCAAGGAGGGUUAUUCUCCAAUCUGUUCAUGAAUUAUUUGACUUUCAACAAACUACUGAAUGGACUGACACCGACAACAGGUGCUGCAGGUUCGUCUUUAUUGGUCGACAUUUGGACAAAGAUAUUCUCCAGAAGAAUCUUCUGACAUUUGUAGCCAAAGACAAACAUUAAAACUGAAUUUCUUGUGAAUUUUACACACACAUACACACACACACACACACACACACACACACACG